Molecule: unclassified non-coding RNA, 362 nt
Filed under: uncultured Thermoleophilia bacterium
Lineage: Bacteria; Bacillati; Actinomycetota; Thermoleophilia
Description: contains 16S-23S intergenic spacer region
Source: RNAcentral
UCCGGGUUGCUCCCGGCGGUCUCGCCAGACAAGGUAACUGGCGACGAGGGUUGCGCUCGUUGCGGGACUUAACCCAACACCUCACGGCACGAGCUGACGACAGCCAUGCACCACCUGUGCACAGGCCCCGAAGGGCUGCCGUGUUACCACGACAUUCCUGUGCAUGUCAAGCCCUGGUAAGGUUCUUCGCGUCGCGUCGAAUUAAACAACAUGCUCCGCUGCUUGUGCGGGCCCCCGCCAAUUCCUUUGAGUUUUAGCCUUGCGGCCGUACUCCCCAGGCGGGGCACUUAAUGCGUUAGCUUCGGCACGGAGGGAGUCGACACCCCCCACACCUAGUGCCCAUCGUUUACAGCGUGGACUAC